RNAcentral lists this ribosomal RNA (492 nucleotides) under uncultured bacterium. RNAcentral's name for it is "partial 16S ribosomal RNA". It matches the Rfam family "Bacterial small subunit ribosomal RNA", at positions 29 to 507 of the family's 1533-position model. The record is from RNAcentral.
AGUGAACGCUGGCGGUAGGCCUAACACAUGCAAGUCGAACGGCAGCACAGUAAGAGCUUGCUCUUACGGGUGGCGAGUGGCGGACGGGUGAGGAAUACAUCGGAAUCUACUUUUUCGUGGGGGAUAACGUAGGGAAACUUACGCUAAUACCGCAUACGACCUACGGGUGAAAGCAGGGGAUCUUCGGACCUUGCGCGAUUGAAUGAGCCGAUGUCGGAUUAGCUAGUUGGCGGGGUAAAGGCCCACCAAGGCGACGAUCCGUAGCUGGUCUGAGAGGAUGAUCAGCGACACUGGAACUGAGACACGGUCCAGACUCCUACGGGAGGCAGCAGUGGGGAAUAUUAGACAAUGGGCGCAAGCCUGAUCCAGCCAUACCGCGUGGGUGAAGAAGGCCUUCGGGUUGUAAAGCCCUUUUGUUGGGAAAGAAAAGCAGCAGGUUAAUACCCCGCUGUUCUGACGGUACCCAAAGAAUAAGCACCGGCUAACUUCGUG